GGCGCUGUUCCCGUUGCACACUCUUCGGUACACGCUCUACAGCACCUGCAGGUGUUACAAGCCAGCAGACGAGAACCAAGUGAUAGCACAUCAGGUCCCUCUUUUGAACAGGAAGGCAGGUUGGGC
Ornithodoros turicata is the source of this 126-nucleotide long non-coding RNA. RefSeq lists it as uncharacterized. The record is from RefSeq and is a predicted model, not a curated record. The transcript is spliced from 3 exons. Lineage: Eukaryota; Metazoa; Arthropoda; Arachnida; Ixodida; Argasidae.